This 425-nucleotide ribosomal RNA is filed under the name uncultured bacterium. RNAcentral's name for it is "partial 16S ribosomal RNA". It matches the Rfam family "Bacterial small subunit ribosomal RNA", at positions 354 to 796 of the family's 1533-position model. The record is from RNAcentral.
GUGGGGAAUCUUAGACAAUGGGCGCAAGCCUGAUCUAGCCAUGCCGCGUGAGCGAUGAAGGCCUUAGGGUUGUAAAGCUCUUUCAGUGGGGAAGAUAAUGACUGUACCCACAGAAGAAGCCCCGGCUAACUCCGUGCCAGCAGCCGCGGUAAUACGGAGGGGGCUAGCGUUGUUCGGAAUUACUGGGCGUAAAGCGCACGUAGGCGGACUGGAAAGUCAGGGGUGAAAUCCCGGGGCUCAACCCCGGAACUGCCUUUGAAACUCCCAGUCUUGAGGUCGAGAGAGGUGAGUGGAAUUCCGAGUGUAGAGGUGAAAUUCGUAGAUAUUCGGAGGAACACCAGUGGCGAAGGCGGCUCACUGGCUCGAUACUGACGCUGAGGUGCGAAAGCGUGGGGAGCAAACAGGAUUAGAAACCCGUGUAGUCC